RNAcentral lists this non-coding RNA (29 nucleotides) under Mus musculus (house mouse). Lineage: Eukaryota; Metazoa; Chordata; Mammalia; Rodentia; Muridae. The record is from RNAcentral.
UGGGUGAGUGUUCAUUUCAGAAGCGUCCA